CCUACGGGCGGCUGCAGUGGGGAAUAUUGCACAAUGGGCGCAAGCCUGAUGCAGCCAUGCCGCGUGUGUGAAGAAGGCCUUCGGGUUGUAAAGCACUUUCAGCGGGGAGGAAGGCGGUGAGGUUAAUAACCUCAUCGAUUGACGUUACCCGCAGAAGAAGCACCGGCUAACUCCGUGCCAGCAGCCGCGAUAAUACGGAGGGUGCAAGCGUUAAUCGGAAUUACUGGGCGUAAAGCGCACGCAGGCGGUCUGUCAAGUCGGAUGUGAAAUCCCCGGGCUCAACCUGGGAACUGCAUUCGAAACUGGCAGGCUAGAGUCUUGUAGAGGGGGGUAGAAUUCCAGGUGUAGCGGUGAAAUGCGUAGAGAUCUGGAGGAAUACCGGUGGCGAAGGCGGCCCCCUGGACAAAGACUGACGCUCAGGUGCGAAAGCGUGGGGAGCAAACAGGAUUAGAUACCCUGGUAGUC
This 465-nucleotide ribosomal RNA is filed under the name uncultured Klebsiella sp. Its description in RNAcentral is "bacterial SSU rRNA". It matches the Rfam family "Bacterial small subunit ribosomal RNA", at positions 338 to 795 of the family's 1533-position model. The record is from RNAcentral. Lineage: Bacteria; Pseudomonadati; Pseudomonadota; Gammaproteobacteria; Enterobacterales; Enterobacteriaceae.